Molecule: long non-coding RNA, 2741 nt
Organism: Macaca fascicularis (crab-eating macaque)
Lineage: Eukaryota; Metazoa; Chordata; Mammalia; Primates; Cercopithecidae
Source: Ensembl
UACUUAACUUUUUCCAUCCUUAUCUCACAUAAGAUAUUGGAAGCCUCCUCAGAUGCCAUGGAAUAAAAUUUGAAAAACACUGGAUGAAGUCAACAUUUUUCAAACUUUCGCAAACAUAACCCUCAGGAAGAAAUGCAUUUUACAUAGUGACCCAGGACACACUAACAUAUAGAUAAUUGAAACUGCUGCUCUCAAGACUACUUCACCCUAAGUACAACACAAUCUCAUGUUUUCUAUUCUACUCACCUCAUUUUUUGAAUGUCAGCCAUGAACUACUAAAUUGAUUUUAUAAGCCACUAAAUAAGCAAUGCCUCGUAGUUGGAAACUAUUAGACUAGAUGAUCUCUUGAAGAAGCCUUUCAAGUUUUAAACUCUAUUGGCCUAUGGUUCUACAGCUUCUGUAUUCUCAAUUUCUAUUGUUUAUUCUCAGGGCAGAGAAGGAGGUGAUGGGCACCUCCAAAAAGAGCAGAAGUUAAGUUCUAGAUAAGCCACAAUCACACUCCCCAAGUGCAUGAAGACCACAUAAUCUCAUGGGCAUGAAUAAAAUCAAUGGAUCACUCUUAUGAGGAAAGCUCACUCCCGAGUCAGACUACCUAAGUUUAAAUCCCAGUUACUUAGGCUUUUUACUUAACCUCCUUAUCAGUAAUUACCUUCUCUGAAAUUUAUGCCUAAUAAUUCAUACCUACCUUGCAGGGUCAUUAAUAGGAUUAAAUAAGAUAGGGUAUAAUGAAUUAGUUCAGUGACAGAAAAACGUGAAGUGCUCCAGGUUCUCUAGUAUUUAUGGGAAGUAAAUGGUUUUUUCCAAAGGAGUGAGCUUAAUUAUCAAGACCAAAGAUGUAUAAAUAAUGCCCCUCCCCCACCCCCAGCUUUAAUAAGCAGGGAGAUGUAGGUUCAAAUUCUUUCUCUGCCACUGACCAGGUGUGUGAUCUUAGAUGACUCACACUUUCUGAGCUUCAAGAUCCUCAGUUGUGAAAUGGAAAUUACAAAACCUAUCUGAUAAAGUUGCUAGGAGGAUAUUAGGAAUAAUGAUAAAACAAUCAAUAUAAGACACCUGAUCCAGGACUUGAUAUACAGUAAGUGCUCAAGAAAAAGAGUGGUGGUAGAGAGAAACACCCUAACAAAAUCUGGCCAAAAAAAAAAAAAUCAAAGUGCUUUGAAAAGCAACUGUUGAUAUUUUUAAAUAAUUAAAGAAAUAACUACAGUCAGAUCACAUUGGUUAUUUUAACUGUGAUGCAUUGCUCUAAAAUGCAGAGCUCUACUAAGAAGUUCCAGCAACAUAGAGUUGUGGAAUUCAUCACUCUAUCGUGUGUGUGUGUGUGUGUGUGUGUGUCAUCUGUUUGACUCAGAAAACACAAUCAUCUUCAGUGUACCACACAAUGUGCUGAGGCUACAGGAUAAAUAAGGCAAGUUCCUGUCAUCAGGAAACCUAUACUUUAUCAAUAUUUCAUCUCCCUCUCUGUCUCUCUGAAGCUCUCUCCUCUUUAUUUAGCACUUACUAGGUUAUAGGCACUGUGCCAGGUAUUCUACAUCAUUUCACCUAAUUCUCAUAGCAACCUGAUCAGAUAGGCUCUGUUAUUCGCAUUUCAUAGUAAAGAAUUCUAAGGCCACAUAACUGUUCAGGGGCAGAGCAAGGAUGUGAACUCAGGUUUCUCUAUUAACCCCUAGUCCUCUAUAACUUCCUGUAGGAGCACAAAGGUGUGAUACCUUUCCUCGUCCUUCCUCGUCAUAAGGAUGGCACCUCUAUAACAAGACAGGAUGACAAGAGAAAAGCAUGACAAUUUUUUUAAAUGAAAGUUUGAUGUGACAUAGGAACCUUCAGAAAUGAAGACCCAAUGACCUACAGAAAACUAUCCAGUUUUAUGCUUAGAUUCAGUGAAGAAUGGACCGCCAUGUAGAAAUGUGAUCGGGCAAGAGGGUAUGAUCUGUUGGUAACAGAGGGCAACUCAGCAUGAUCUGUCUGUUCCUAUUCUUCUUGGCCUCGCUGUGUGGCAUUUCUUCCUCCCAGGUAUCGGGUAGGAUUCCUCCGAAAUGGGAGUCUGAUGACCUACUAUCCAGUAAGGUAGGGCGGAGAAUUUCUUUUUGGCCAGCUCCUCCCCAGUAAGGUGGGAGAAAGUUUUUUCUAGUUUUUGUGGCUGGUUCUGGGCAAAAAAGAGGAGUGGGAGCAGAAGUUCAAAAGGAUCUCACUUCUAUGAACUCCCUAUGUCCUUCAGCUCAAAAUACUCAGCAGACCAUGGUGCCAUACUUUGGGAUAUCAUGUUCUAAAUGCCAACACUCCCAAUUCUACUCCUAUGAAUUGAUAAACAUAGAAAGUUCACCAGAUAUAACAAAAUACUAGCUAUGUAGUGUCUCUCUGUGUAGAUCAUAACAGCAUAGGGUAGGAACUGAGAACAUGGAUUUCAAACUUGGUUAGAUCUAGGUUUGAAUUCUUGUGGUACCACUUAGCUCUGUGGAGAGAGAGAGAGAAAGAGAAAGAGAGAGGGAGAAUUGAAUUGAAACAUGAUAUAAUAUAAAGUUUACAUAAAUACAUACACACACACCAUACACACACAAACACACACACAUACAUGCACAUACCACUACCCCCAUAGGCUCACUGUGAAAGGUACCUUAAGAGAAGACGGAGAAGAUCUAAUUCAAUCUCCUUACUUUGCAGUGGAGAAAAUCAACCCUGGGUGGGGACGAGGGCACAGUGGAUUUCCUGCCAGUGCUCCCACAGGGAGGGAGAGACUGUUACCAUGUUAC